UGUAUGUUAAACGAGAAGACUUUAGAUAUGAUCCAGAGUACCACGGGACACGUGAAACCCUGUGGGAAGCAGGAGGGACCACCCUCCAAGGCUAAAUACUACCUAGUGACCGAUAGCGUAUAGUACCGUGAGGGAAAGGUGAAAAGAACCCCGGGAGGGGAGUGAAAUAGAACCUGAAACCCUGCACUUACAAGCUGUGGAAGCACAUUUCUUGUGUGACCGCGUACUUUUUGUAGAACGGGCCAACGAGUUACGUUAAGUAG
RNAcentral lists this ribosomal RNA (263 nucleotides) under Clostridioides difficile. RNAcentral's name for it is "partial 23S ribosomal RNA". It matches the Rfam family "Bacterial large subunit ribosomal RNA", at positions 374 to 640 of the family's 2925-position model. The record is from RNAcentral. Lineage: Bacteria; Bacillati; Bacillota; Clostridia; Peptostreptococcales; Peptostreptococcaceae.